This 800-nucleotide ribosomal RNA is filed under the name Halomonas sp. Its description in RNAcentral is "bacterial SSU rRNA". It matches the Rfam family "Bacterial small subunit ribosomal RNA", at positions 51 to 849 of the family's 1533-position model. Lineage: Bacteria; Pseudomonadati; Pseudomonadota; Gammaproteobacteria; Oceanospirillales; Halomonadaceae. The record is from RNAcentral.
ACACAUGCAGUCGAGCGGUAACAGAUCCAGCUUGCUGGAUGCUGACGAGCGGCGGACGGGUGAGUAAUGCAUAGGAAUCUGCCCGAUAGUGGGGGAUAACCUGGGGAAACCCAGGCUAAUACCGCAUACGUCCUACGGGAGAAAGGGGGCUCCGGCUCCCGCUAUGGGAUGAGCCUAUGUCGGAUUAGCUAGUUGGUGAGGUAAUGGCUCACCAAGGCAACGAUCCGUAGCUGGUCUGAGAGGAUGAUCAGCCACAUCGGGACUGAGACACGGCCCGAACUCCUACGGGAGGCAGCAGUGGGGAAUAUUGGACAAUGGGGGAAAGCCUGAUCCAGCCAUGCCGCGUGUGUGAAGAAGGCCCUCGGGUUGUAAAGCACUUUCAGCGAGGAAGAACGCCUAGCGGUUAAUACCCGCUAGGAAAGACAUCACUCGCAGAAGAAGCACCGGCUAACUCCGUGCCAGCAGCCGCGGUAAUACGGAGGGUGCAAGCGUUAAUCGGAAUUACUGGGCGUAAAGCGCGCGUAGGUGGCUUGAUAAGCCGGUUGUGAAAGCCCCGGGCUCAACCUGGGAACGGCAUCCGGAACUGUCAAGCUAGAGUGCAGGAGAGGAAGGUAGAAUUCCCGGUGUAGCGGUGAAAUGCGUAGAGAUCGGGAGGAAUACCAGUGGCGAAGGCGGCCUUCUGGACUGACACUGACACUGAGGUGCGAAAGCGUGGGUAGCAAACAGGAUUAGAUACCCUGGUAGUCCACGCCGUAAACGAUGUCGACCAGCCGUUGGGUGCCUAGCGCACUUUGUGGCGA